CCGCUCGAUCUGUAAAGGCAGCGCCCCCCGCUUCUCAUCCUCACUCAGAAUAUAGUUAAAAUCACCAAUCACUACCGUCGGGAUACCCUGGGCGGUCAGGUUGAUGAUCUCCUGCCAAAGGACUCUCCUAACUCGGUGGUCCAUGCACGCGUAUACACCGCACAGUACCUAUGGAGCAGCGUCGGGUUCUGAUAUGACCAUGAUUAUUUGUUGAGAGUAGUUGUGGAAGACAUCAAUCGUCGCCACACCCCACCUCCACAGAACCAAAAUCCCUCCCGACAACCCCUGGGAGUCGACCGCAUAGGUCUCCCAAUCCCUCUCCAUACGCCGCCUCAAUCGGCUGAGCCCCUCGCCAGAUAAUCGGGUCUCACAAAGGAAAUAGAUCUCCGGACAGUAGACCUGCACCAAUCGUUUGAACAAAGACAUGAAAGACGGCUUGGCCACCCCCCUACAAUUCCAAGCAAGAAUCAUCAUGGAUCACAAUCCACAUAGUCGGCCUCAGACUCAUCCUCUCCUAAAGUCGCGGGACCGUCCUCAGGCUCGGCGCCCAGGCAGCCUCGCUCCUCC
RNAcentral lists this long non-coding RNA (567 nucleotides) under Phoenix dactylifera (date palm). RNAcentral describes it as "long non-coding RNA (PDAC_LNC014355)". Lineage: Eukaryota; Viridiplantae; Streptophyta; Magnoliopsida; Arecales; Arecaceae. The record is from RNAcentral.